Daphnia magna is the source of this 3442-nucleotide long non-coding RNA. RefSeq lists it as uncharacterized. The record is from RefSeq and is a predicted model, not a curated record. Lineage: Eukaryota; Metazoa; Arthropoda; Branchiopoda; Diplostraca; Daphniidae. The transcript is spliced from 3 exons.
CUGGGCUGGGUACUAUGUCGUUUCAUGUUUGUGGUGCAAUAGCUGUUCUUACAUCACCGCCAUUAACAUUUUCCUUAAUCUCUUCUCCCUCUCUCAUCGUCAGUCUAUUUUCGGUCAUUUGACUAUCGGAAUUACUCUCCGAGCAAGGUUAAGUAAAAGCUAUAUCUAUCCUAUUAAAAAUAAACUAUACGAUCAGGUUACUUAAAGAUUAACUGUCGCAAGCGCAGUUUCAAGGCGUGCCCUUCACGAUGUCUUUUGUUUGGUUUGUUUGGUUUUUUUUUUUAUCAGUUAAGAAAAGAAAGAAUCCUUGAUCAUCAUUUAAGACCUUCAUUAUAAUUCAGUCAUUCGGCCAAGGUUGGCCAAGGUCGGCCAAGGUCGGCCAAAUGGUAAGUGCGAUGAUUGAACGCCAGUCACGUUGCAAUACAAUUUGAAAACUGAGCUUAACUUGAUUCGACGUUCAUCUUUCGUUCAUUUCAUUAUCGUUAGAUGGACUUUUUCUUAAAUUUCUGCUGGUCCAGUUGUUCUGAUACGGUUGAAACCAAACGCAGUGGGCUGCCGAUUACGAAUGAAAUUGAAAGUUUAGGCUAUGCGGGACACCCUCAAUCGCUUUCUCUUUCGCCAUUUGAUAUAAGUCAUGACGGUCGGCAUUGAUGGACGCCGAUGUAUGCGGGUGACAAAACACAUUCAUAGCAUUUCAAAGUCAAUCUUUGAAAUCUAUGAACAGUUUUGUGUACAGCUUAUGAUGUCACGAAUCGUGAACGAUUGAUGCCUCGGUUGUACAGGAAUGCAAAUGUAGAAAGCGUUUGCCAACUGUGGCGAAAUCAAAGGGAUCCCAAAGUUAUGCCGCGAUUUCGGGUUGAACAUUGUAGGGUUAUUGCCUAACGAGUUAUGUAAAAGGUGUUCUUCUUUUUUAAUUCGACAUUGUGAAAAUGUUAAGUAUUAAAAAGGCAUCUAAAGUUUCCCAUCGAUAACUUUGAAAAAGAGACAUACAAGUAAGGGACUAAAUGGAUUCACUUUUAUGUAGUACUUAUGAAUGCAAAUGGAGGGGAAGGGUGACGAAACGGCAACACGUGCAUUCGCGACAUUUCGUUUUCAAAAAUAUGCUAAUCGGUUAUACCUGGCUCAUCCGGCUUCAUGUUUCUUUCUUAUCAGAGUCGAAACCAAAUGGAGCCCUUCCUCCCUCCAUUAACUACGCACAUAUUUGAUCUGGUUUCCAGCAUUUGACGUGGCCGGUUCUUCAGUAUUUUGACAGCCAAGGCCAUCACCAAGAUUUUUCGUUCGUCCCUUUCGAAAUUAUAAUCUUUUGAAUGGGCAGCAGUUAGAUGAUGCGGGUAAGACCAAAGGAAUCAACGGAAAUUGCAUCGUCCUGAAUCGGCUGAAAAUCCUGAGCAAUCUGGAACACCUCUUGCGACUCGAAAUCAUUUUGAAUGAUCAAAUCACUACUGCCUGAUUGGUAAGCAUUGUAACUAUUGCCACUAUUCCUGUUGUUCGUUUUCAGACUCCUCAGGAACUCGUCCAAUCGGCCGGUCGAACGGCCACUAGACUUUCCGUAGCCUGAAGAGGCCAAUCGAACGACAGGCACAGCCACCUGAGCAACCUCCUUGAUGGUCUUGCUGGGCUCUACCGUUUGCUUGACAAUUGGAAAGCUGUCGUAUGUGGCCGUUUCACGGUUUACGGCACGGAUGGCAGCAGGGGCUUGAUCGUAAGAGAUGCGAGUUGGAGCCGUAACGCGGACGUUGUUUUUUUUAACGUACGCGUCGUCAUUCUGAUCAAUAAGGCGGACCACGUUGUUGGUACGACGCGAUGAGCUUCUCACAGGGACACGGACAUUAGGGAUAGCAACUUGAGAAACUGUUUUAGUGGGGGUUAACACGCGGAUAUCGGAAACAGCGGCAUCGUACGGAUCAGCAACGCGGAUGGCAGUCGAUGGGUUUUCAUAAGAAUUUUUAGCCGAUGAAACGAAGCGAACAGUUCCGGCUUCUUUGUUUUUACGGGCUGGAGCUACUACGCUGACGUCUAAAAGUGGGGAAGUAUGCGGAUUAGCGACACGAACUACGGUUGGCUGGAUGUCGUAAGUUUCUUUAGCUGGAGAAGAAAUGCGGACGACUCCAGCGUUGUAGUUGAUGUCACGGGCUGGCGAUGGAUCAGGAAAGCCAUCUUCAUCGUCAUCAACGCUAGUGUACUGGUAGUCUAAAGCUUUCUGUUCCACCGAUUUUGGGGAUGUGCGGAUGAAAGGAAACGGCUGACUGCUGCGGACACCUUCGUUGAGCAGAGUUCCUCGAGCUUGGAAUCCGACAGACUGACCGGACAUCUUUCCAGCCGCGUAUUCUAUCGUCAUUCCAAUAAAUCAUUAACUUUGAGUUUGUUUAAAACCCUUUCUAAAAGUGCUUUAAAUUACCGGUUUCUUGUGCUUUUCCGUAGGAAUCAAUGUAUCCAUAUUUGCCGGUCAUGUAACCGUUCACGUCCAUAUUCUCGACUCGGAACGAUCCGUCUGAAGCUUCGAAUCCGAACGUGUAAGAGCCAUCGUCAUUCAGUUGGUUGAUCUGUUUCAAAAUCGUCACAGCUGGACCGGGAUACGACGUUGUGGACGAUUUACUGGUGACGUAGUUAGCAGGAGAAGCCAACGAGUAAGCCACAGCAAACAGCAACAUCAUCUAAUAUCACAUUAUUUCAUGUAAAAAAAACUAAUAAUAAUCAACUAACAAUAAGAAAUUUCCAGUUGAUUACCAGAGGACGACGUACAAUGCUAGAAAUCAUUUUUCUCUUGAAUCACGAACGACGUGUAACAACAGCGAGGAAGGAGCAGCUUUGAACUUGAUUGCCGUUGAAUUGACUGAUGAAUAAAACCGAGGACUCGGCCGUCUUUAUAUACAGCGACGGAAAGUGAAUGUUGGGUUGAUCAUGCAACCAUAUCACACUACCCCGUUCAACAGAUGACCUGUCUGUCAACUUUUACUCUGGCCGGCAGACUCUCACGAAACGCGGGACGGCAUCACGAUACUCUGCAGAAUCGUAUUGCGACAGAUUUGGAAAAGAUUUUUGUUCCAUCUUAGAUGCGAUAUGUCCGAAGAAGAAUGUGCAUAUUCGCUUUCUUUUUUUUUCACCUGUCCUCCACCUGAUGAUUUGUUUGAUUAAGUUUCCUUUUUUUCUCCCCUUGGGAAAUCUACAGAUGUUCUAGUGUACGAAUUUUGAAGCUCGUGACAGUACACAUACGGGUGUGAGCUACACCCAAACCGGUACUUUGUGUGUCUCCAUCGGCAAAUCCUUGAAGAGCCAUCAUUCUUCACGGUGUUUUCUUCAUUGGACAAAGUGAAAGGUAUGUCGAUAUCGGAGAUGCGCUAUCGAGUUGGCUGAUCCUGACGCCUAUUGUUUGCUUAUCAUUGCGCAAAGAGACAGAUCGUGUUCUGUAUUUUUUUAAAGUGUAACCUCAAGACCAUCACAA